CGGUAGUUAGCGCAGGCAGGUAGCGCGUUUGGUUCGGGACCAAGAGGUCGCGGGUUCGAAUCCCGCACUACCGACCA
Molecule: transfer RNA, 77 nt
Filed under: Candidatus Anaerobiospirillum pullicola
Lineage: Bacteria; Pseudomonadati; Pseudomonadota; Gammaproteobacteria; Aeromonadales; Succinivibrionaceae
Description: tRNA-Pro
Rfam family: tRNA
About the family: Transfer RNA (tRNA) molecules are approximately 80 nucleotides in length. Their secondary structure includes four short double-helical elements and three loops (D, anti-codon, and T loops). Further hydrogen bonds mediate the characteristic L-shaped molecular structure. tRNAs have two regions of fundamental functional importance: the anti-codon, which is responsible for specific mRNA codon recognition, and the 3' end, to which the tRNAs corresponding amino acid is attached (by aminoacyl-tRNA synthetases). tRNAs cope with the degeneracy of the genetic code in two manners: having more than one tRNA (with a specific anti-codon) for a particular amino acid; and 'wobble' base-pairing, i.e. permitting non-standard base-pairing at the 3rd anti-codon position.
Source: RNAcentral